Esox lucius (northern pike) is the source of this 1446-nucleotide long non-coding RNA. RefSeq lists it as uncharacterized. The transcript is spliced from 3 exons. The record is from RefSeq and is a predicted model, not a curated record. Lineage: Eukaryota; Metazoa; Chordata; Actinopteri; Esociformes; Esocidae.
CAUUCAUGGCAUUUAAAAAAAACACAGCCGUUGGUAAUAAGUGUCUUAAUAUGUAAUUGAUCAGUAAACUGCAAGCUUCAGGUCUCCCCAAAGAUGUUUAAUGAGGUUCAAAUCCAGACUUUGACCGCCCACUCAAAGAUAUUCACAGAUUUGUCCCAAAACCACUUAUGUUCUCUUGGCUGCGUACUUCAGGUCAUAGUCAUUCUGACAGAGAAAUCUUCACCUGAGUCUGAGAACCUGAUCUAGAGCGCACAGGACUUCAUGAAGGACCUCUCUGUAAUUUGCUUCUUUCAUCCCUCUGUUCAGACCAGUCUCCCAGUCCCUACCACUGAGAAGCAUCCCCACAGCAUGAUGUGCCCACCACCAUGCUUCACUUUAGGGAUGGUUUUGGCCAGAUGAUGAGUAGUAACUUGUUUACACCAGACAUACUGCUUGGCAUUCAGGCUUAAUGAUCUAAUUUUGUUCUUAUCAGACCAAAAUCUUUUUUCUCAUGCUCUCAGAGCCUCCCGGCGUCAAAAGCCCCCCCCCCCCCAGAAGUGACUUCUGUCAAUCCACUCUGCCAUAAAGGUUGGAUUGAUGGAGUGCUGCAGAGAGUUCUCCAAUCUCUGCAGAAAAACUCUGUUAGAGUGACUACUGGGUUCUUGGCUACCUCCGUGACCAAUGUCCUUCUCGCCCUGAUCUAUUCCUCAAAACAGUUCUAUCUUGGAGGUCAAGUGAGAGUUCCUUGGGCUUGACUUACACUGUCAAGUCUGAGACCUUAUAUGGACUGCUGUGUCUUUCUAAAUCAUCCCAUUUCAGGUAGGGUCCUCAAAGGCCUUUACAUGGUAACAAGGUGACCUCAUCCUUGUGACCAAUGGGAUGAUGCAUUGUGAACUUGCAUUAGAAAAUGGUGAAUCAUGGGGACGAUUUAGUGACCAUGAUUGAAAGGGGCUAGGGUACAAAUUUGCCCAGGACUCCCAAGAUUAACAUUCUGACUCUUACAAUAAGUGUCCGGACAUACAUUUUUGCCGUAAGUGAAUCAAUAUACUCUUUCAGCAACUAUGUGGUGUAGCAAGAACUGUUGAUCAGAUGCAUUUUUAUUUUCUCCAAUGUCAGCUUUUGUUUUCUCAGUAAACGUUUUGUUAAUUAAAAGACGAUAUGUCUGGAUGUAGCAUUAGUGAUAUGUAGACCACUUUGUUGUCGUUCUUGAGAUUGACAGCGUUUCACUGGGAUGUGUUGUAAUGUCACUCAUUGCUCCUAUUGAUUGUGUUUGCUUGAGGUGUUGUCCAGUUUCCUGACAGGUCAAUAGGAAGCACAGAGAGAUGGAGGAGUGAGACAGACCGACACAGACAGCCGGCUGUGCAGGGCCUCAACCCUGGCAGCCAGCGGGCAUGUGGUCCAGCUUAGACCGCUAGACCAGAGUCUGGCGAACAUCAUCCUACUUACAGAAGUGUUUAUUUUCAUAUU